This 419-nucleotide ribosomal RNA is filed under the name uncultured Gemmatimonas sp. RNAcentral's name for it is "bacterial SSU rRNA". It matches the Rfam family "Bacterial small subunit ribosomal RNA", at positions 353 to 772 of the family's 1533-position model. Lineage: Bacteria; Pseudomonadati; Gemmatimonadota; Gemmatimonadia; Gemmatimonadales; Gemmatimonadaceae. The record is from RNAcentral.
AGUGGGGAAUAUUGCGCAAUGGCCGAAAGGCUGACGCAGCGACGCCGCGUGGGGGAUGAAGCAUUUCGGUGUGUAAACCCCUGUUGCUCGGGACGAACAACUGGAUUUGUCCAGUCUGACGGUACCGGGUGAGGAAGCACCGGCUAACUCCGUGCCAGCAGCCGCGGUAAUACGGAGGGUGCGAGCGUUGUCCGGAAUCACUGGGCGUAAAGGGCGCGUAGGCGGUCUGCUAAGCGUGCGGUGAAAGCCUGGGGCUCAACCCCAGGUCUGCCGUGCGAACUGGUGGACUAGAGCACUGUAGAGGCGAGUGGAAUUCCGGGUGUAGCGGUGGAAUGCGUAGAGAUCCGGAAGAACACCGGUGGCGAAGGCGGCUCGCUGGGCAGUAGCUGACGCUGAGGCGCGACAGCGUGGGGAGCAAA